GGAGAUGUGACUCAACAGUAGAGCACCUUUCUAGAAAACAUGAAGUUCUGGGCUCAAACCCUAGUACCUCCA
This 72-nucleotide transfer RNA is filed under the name Dipodomys ordii (Ord's kangaroo rat). It matches the Rfam family "tRNA". From Rfam's summary of the family: Transfer RNA (tRNA) molecules are approximately 80 nucleotides in length. Lineage: Eukaryota; Metazoa; Chordata; Mammalia; Rodentia; Heteromyidae. The record is from Rfam by way of RNAcentral.